CAACCUUCACAUGAUAUAUUAAUUAUUCAGAACAAUAUACCAAUUUCUGAAUAUAAUUGCAAUCAUAAUAUAUAAUCAUACACCAUAAUAAUAAAAUGAUAAAAGAAGAGAGUGUAAAUAAAUAAAGACAUUUUUACUUUCACGGGACGUGUGGCUAAAUAGAACCCUAACCCCAAAUUCUAAUAGCCAUUUUGGCUCUCUUAAUCCAAAUAAGACUGGCGCCCCGAGAGCAA
This 233-nucleotide long non-coding RNA is filed under the name Ricinus communis (castor bean). Its description in RNAcentral is "long non-coding RNA (RCOM_LNC003197)". The record is from RNAcentral. Lineage: Eukaryota; Viridiplantae; Streptophyta; Magnoliopsida; Malpighiales; Euphorbiaceae.